This 520-nucleotide ribosomal RNA is filed under the name uncultured Glomus. RNAcentral's name for it is "SSU rRNA". It matches the Rfam family "Eukaryotic small subunit ribosomal RNA", at positions 569 to 1091 of the family's 1831-position model. The record is from RNAcentral. Lineage: Eukaryota; Fungi; Glomeromycota; Glomeromycetes; Glomerales; Glomeraceae.
AGCAGCCGCGGUAAUUCCAGCUCCAAUAGCGUAUAUUAAAGUUGUUGCAGUUAAAAAGCUCGUAGUUGAAUUUCGGGGUUAGUAGGUUGGUCAUGCCUCUGGUAUGUACUGGUCUCACUGAUUCCUCCUUCCUGAUGAGCCGUAAUGCCAUUAAUUUGGUGUUGCGGGGAAUUUGGACUGUUACUUUGAAAAAAUUAGAGUGUUUAAAGCAAGCUAACGCUUGAAUACAUUAGCAUGGAAUAAUGAAAUAGGACGUUUGAUUUUAUUUUGUUGGCUUCUAGGAUCGACGUAAUGAUUAAUAGGGAUAGUUGGGGGCAUUAGUAUUCAAUUGUCAGAGGUGAAAUUCUUGGAUUUAUUGAAGACUAACUACUGCGAAAGCAUUUGCCAAGGAUGUUUUCAUUAAUCAAGAACGAAAGUUAGGGGAUCGAAGACGAUCAGAUACCGUCGUAGUCUUAACCAUAAACUAUGCCGACUAGGGAUCGGAUGAUGUUAAUUUUUAAUGACUCAUUCGGCGCCUUAC